CAGUCGCCACGGUAAGACGAAGGUGGCGAGCGUUGUUCGGAAUCACUGGGCAUAAAGCGCACGUAGGCGGUGACGUAAGUCGGGUGUGAAAUCCCUCGGCCUAACCGAGGAACUGCGCCCGAUACUGCGUUGCUUGAGGAUCAGAGGGGUGCAUGGAAUUUCCGGUGGAGCGGUGAAAUGCGUUGAUAUCGGAAGGAACUCCGGCGGCGAAAGCGAUGCACUGGCUGAUUUCUGACGCUGAGGUGCGAAAGCCAGGGGAGCAAACGGGAUUAGAUACCCCGGUAGUCCCUGUCUCUUAUAC
RNAcentral lists this ribosomal RNA (301 nucleotides) under uncultured bacterium. Its description in RNAcentral is "partial 16S ribosomal RNA". It matches the Rfam family "Bacterial small subunit ribosomal RNA", at positions 509 to 807 of the family's 1533-position model. The record is from RNAcentral.